This is a non-coding RNA of Paramuricea clavata, 558 nucleotides long. NCBI's taxonomy places the organism in Eukaryota, Metazoa, Cnidaria, Anthozoa, Malacalcyonacea, Plexauridae. The record is from the annotation of a GenBank genome assembly.
AAACAAUAUACAGUAUAGUAUUUAUUUCCUUAUAGCAAAGAAGCUAGAGUCAGCCAGUGUAUACAGGAAAUGAAACUUCGCCCAUGCCUUUUUCAACUCCUGACGGAAGUGUACCAGCCCUUGGAAUGUAAAUUAGCUAUAUAUGAUUAAUCUGCGUAGGAAUAAUUAUUUAACAAUCGCAAUUAUGUGGUUCAAUGAGGGUAUUAAAGUGAAAACAAAAAGACAAUGAAAAGUGCUAGGUUCUGAACAGGCAAGCAACGAGUCUUGGUAUAUUUAUGACACAGAAGAUUCUAUUACUCGUUUCUGAUAUGUCGAUCGUGCGUUGGAUCUUACUGGGGUUACCAUUAUGUGUGCUAAGGAUCAAUGGUUUUUCAUUGAGUGUUACGAGAGGAUAUCAGGAUUCGAUAUAUACAAAUAUUCAACAAGAAUCAACUCGUCGUUUAAUAUGUGACGGUAAUAACGUUUGUAAAUGUGAAGAUGGUUUAACUUAUAUCUUCGAUAGUGACUCGUUGUCGGGAAAAUGUGUUAAAGAUUAUGAAAUAAUCAAAGAUAGAUCUA